UAAGUUUGUAUUUGACAAACU
Molecule: non-coding RNA, 21 nt
Filed under: Caenorhabditis elegans
Lineage: Eukaryota; Metazoa; Nematoda; Chromadorea; Rhabditida; Rhabditidae
Source: RNAcentral